This 378-nucleotide unclassified non-coding RNA is filed under the name plant metagenome. RNAcentral's name for it is "partial contains 5.8S ribosomal RNA, internal transcribed spacer 2, and large subunit ribosomal RNA". The stretch from base 1 to 105 matches the Rfam family "5.8S ribosomal RNA", at positions 50 to 154 of the family's 154-position model. The record is from RNAcentral.
GAAAUGCGAUAAGUAAUGUGAAUUGCAGAAUUCAGUGAAUCAUCGAAUCUUUGAACGCACCUUGCGCUCCUUGGUAUUCCUUGGAGCAUGCCUGUUUGAGUAUCAUGAAAUCUUCAAAGUAAAUCUUUUGUUAACUCAAUUGGUUUCUACUUUGGUAUUGGAGGUCUUUGCAGCUUCACACCUGCUCCUCUUUGUUCAUUAGCUGGAUCUCAGUGUUAUGCUUGGUUCCACUCGGCGUGAUAAGUUAUCUAUCGCUGAGGACACUGUGAAAGGUGGCCAAGGUAAAUGCAGAUGAACCGCUUCUACUAGUCCAUUGACUUGGACAAUACUUUUAUGAUCUGAUCUCAAAUCAGGUAGGACUACCCGCUGAACUUAAGC